AGUGAACGCUGGCGGUAGGCCUAACACAUGCAAGUCGAACGGCAGCACAGUAAGAGCUUGCUCUUACGGGUGGCGAGUGGCGGACGGGUGAGGAAUACAUCGGAAUCUACUUUUUCGUGGGGGGUAACGUAGGGAAACUUACGCUAAUACCGCAUACGACCUACGGGUGAAAGCAGGGGAUCUUCGGACCUUGCGCGAUUGAAUGAGCCGAUGUCGGAUUAGCUAGUUGGCGGGGUAAAGGCCCACCAAGGCGACGAUCCGUAGCUGGUCUGAGAGGAUGAGCAGCCACACUGGAACUGAGACACGGUCCAGACUCCUACGGGAGGCAGCAGUGGGGAAUAUUGGACAAUGGGCGCAAGCCUGAUCCAGCCAUACCGCGUGGGUGAAGAAGGCCUUCGGGUUGUAAAGCCCUUUUGUUGGGAAAGAAAAGCAGCAGGUUAAUACCCCGCUGUUCUGACGGUACCCAAAGAAUAAGCACCGGCUAACUUCGUG
Molecule: ribosomal RNA, 492 nt
Filed under: uncultured bacterium
Lineage: Bacteria
Description: partial 16S ribosomal RNA
Rfam family: Bacterial small subunit ribosomal RNA
Source: RNAcentral